This 281-nucleotide long non-coding RNA is filed under the name Prunus persica (peach). Its description in RNAcentral is "long non-coding RNA (PPER_LNC008047)". Lineage: Eukaryota; Viridiplantae; Streptophyta; Magnoliopsida; Rosales; Rosaceae. The record is from RNAcentral.
CGGACGGCCAAGUUUUACUGUCUAGCAGAGUUCAAUCGUCUUUUCUCCAUGAUAAACAAUGAGUGAGUGAGAACUUAUGUAGUACGUGCACAACUCUAUAAGUGGUCUCGAGCCCAUUGUGACGGACGACGAUAUAAUGUCAUGACAACUAAUAUUAGGGAGUCCACUAAUUCAGUUCUUCGUUUUGGAAGGAUGCUUCCGGUGGUACACUUGAUUGAGGAAAUUAGGAAUGUGCUUCAGAAUUGGUUUAGUCAACGUCGAGAUUUGUCAAUGAAAUAUAA